CGCCUGAGCAUGCAGCAGGACAUCCUCCUGACCUGGUAAUAAUUAGGUGAGAAGGAUGGUUGGGGGCGGUCGGCGUAACUCAGGGA
This is a microRNA precursor of Gorilla gorilla gorilla (western lowland gorilla), 86 nucleotides long. NCBI's taxonomy places the organism in Eukaryota, Metazoa, Chordata, Mammalia, Primates, Hominidae. The record is from Ensembl.